AGCUAAACCUGAUAGAAACGGAAAUACUUUUUUUAGCAGCAACCCUUAAUUGACGGUGAUGCUGAGGCACGAAGCAUUUGCAGCCGAAGAAAUAGUUGUUUCGUACCUGAGCAUAGCAAGCAGUUUAAAAAGAUUGCAGUGCAUAGCAGGACUAACA
RNAcentral lists this small RNA (157 nucleotides) under Pedobacter sp. Leaf194. RNAcentral describes it as "Flavo-1 RNA". It matches the Rfam family "Flavo-1 RNA". Lineage: Bacteria; Pseudomonadati; Bacteroidota; Sphingobacteriia; Sphingobacteriales; Sphingobacteriaceae. The record is from Rfam by way of RNAcentral.